AAACACCCAUAAUGUUAUAUUUCAAUUUUAUUCCAUUCUUCUUAUUCCUAUAACAAAAUAAAAGAAUAAAAUAGAAUUUUUAUUUUGUGUUGCAUAUUAAGUAUAGAAAUAAAAAUUUAUAUCCUAUUUUCAUUCCAUUAUUUAUUGCAUUUUUAUUUCAUUUUAUUUCACGUAUCAAAUAUAAUAUUACAUUAUUAGAAGCACUCGUUUCCAAUUUAAAAGUUUAAGUUAAUAGGUGGAGAUUUCUAUGAAACGAUUGUGUGGCUGGAAUGUAGUCUAACUACAUCGUUACAACCUACCAGGUUACUUAUUUUUAUUAAUAGAAAAUGAAAUGAGGCAAAAAGUGUUCACCACCUCAAUCCGCCCAAAAUCGAAUAAGAUCGGAUAUUUGCCGGAUCAAGUAAAAUUGUUAUCCCUAAAGAGUGAAAAAGAUAUUAUUUUAUAUUGAAAAAAUUACAGUAUGACUCUUGUAUUUUGUAAAAUAUAAUUAAUUUAUCCUUGCAUAUCUUAAAAAUAGACUAUAAUUUUUCUGUAAUUCACUUCCUAACAUAACUAGAUCUUUUCGUCCAAUUUUUAUAUUUUCCAUUAAAUACAUUAUAUAAAAGGACUAAAGUAACCUUUCUUCCCCUUCUCCAUGGCUCAACUACUGUUCCUUUCUUAUAUCACCAACAUUAAAACUCUAUUUUUGGAGUGCAAUAAUUACACUGAAAACAAAAUUAAACAAAAAUGAAAAGGAAAAAUUAAAUCACUUCAUGAUGAACUUAGCAAAAAUGAAUGAAGCAAAAUUAUAUUAAUAACAGAACUGAAUGAAAAAUAAAGCUUUGAGAUUGAAAUGUAUAUGCCUCGCUAAAUACGGUGAAAAGUUAAUAAUUGAGCGAGUUUAUUCUCUAAGAGGAAAUUGAUUGAACAGUUGAUGUUCACAAUAGCCAAUGUAUAAAAUAGAAAAACAAACGGCCGCAUAAAUUUAUUACUGUAUUUUACCUGAGAAAUCUUAUGGCACUUCAAACUUUGCUAUGUAUCUAUUAUGCCGCUUAAAUUAUAAAUUUUAGUAACGCUGUAUCCUUAUUCAUACCAGUAAUAACAGUUUUUUUUAGUGUUUUUAGCAUUUAUAUGCAAAAUAUUCACUUGAUAUGCGGUUAGUAUAAGUUUUAAAACAAUAAUUUCAUAUUUUUUAACUAUAGAAUAAGUGUUUAAUCGAUCUAAUUUUUUAAGUUUGAGCGUUCAAUAGAAUAAUUUUUAUAAGUUGAAGUAUUUAAUAAGUAUAAUUUAUAAGUGGAUGGAAGUGUUUAAUAGAGCAAUAUAAAAGUUGAGAUUGCCACAAAAUAUUUUUUUUACGUAAAGUAUAGAAGUGAAUUUAUGCAUUAAACAAAAAACAAACAGAUACUUAAGAGCAUAAUUUGGAAAUGAUUUGAAUUUGAUUGGAGGGAAUGCUAAAUUUUUAUCCAAAUACGAAGAAAUGGAGCUUGAAAACCAGGAACAAAAUCAAGUAAAAUAACAACCAGUUUGGGGAAUUCUAACCUGGGAGUUGUAGCCGCCAAAAUCAAAUAAUAAGGGUAUGAAGAUUUAAACUUGAAGUUGAAGGACUUGGAAUUUUGAAGUCUAGGGAAGAGCAUGAGGAUGAAGUUGCUUCUCACAUAUUAUGAAAAGAUUUUUAAACUGUUUCUCAACAACUUCAUUUAUUUUCCAAGAAUAUAUGAGAAAGCAAAACAAAAGAGGAAGAUGAAUUGGUUUUGAUUUUGAUUAUUCUAUCUUUUAUCUCUUUCAUUUCUUUCUUGAAGAGAUUGAAGAAAAACAAGUGCAAUUGUACAUUUUAUCUUACCUCCCAUUUGGGUUUAGGGAUUGGUGG
This 1846-nucleotide long non-coding RNA is filed under the name Jatropha curcas. RNAcentral's name for it is "long non-coding RNA (JCUR_LNC001580)". The record is from RNAcentral. Lineage: Eukaryota; Viridiplantae; Streptophyta; Magnoliopsida; Malpighiales; Euphorbiaceae.